GCAGUGUGGCUGCUUGCAGACAAAGCUGCUUAUUUAUUUGACAGAUAAAAGACAUGAGCAAGUAGGACGAUUAGUCCGGAUUGCGAAUGGCUGUUGCGAUUUCGAGAGUUCGCAGAACGGAGAAAUCGU
This 129-nucleotide small RNA is filed under the name human gut metagenome. Its description in RNAcentral is "Clostridiales-1 RNA". It matches the Rfam family "Clostridiales-1 RNA", at positions 25 to 157 of the family's 166-position model. The record is from RNAcentral.